CAGCCGCCGCGGGAAUACGAAGGGGGCUAGCGUUGUUCGGAUUUACUGGGCGUAAAGGGCGCGUAGGCGGGCGAUUAAGUCAGAGGUGAAAUCCCAAGGCUCAGCCUUGGAACUGCCUUUGAUACUGGUUGUCUCGAGUCCGGGAGAGGUGAGUGGAACUGCGAGUGUAGAGGUGAAAUUCGUAGAUAUUCGCAAGAACACCAGUGGCGAAGGCGGCUCACUGGCCCGGAACUGACGCUGAGGCGCGAAAGCUAGGGGAGCAAACAGGAUUAGAGACCCCCGUAGUCCCUGUCUCUUAUAC
This 301-nucleotide ribosomal RNA is filed under the name uncultured bacterium. Its description in RNAcentral is "partial 16S ribosomal RNA". It matches the Rfam family "Bacterial small subunit ribosomal RNA", at positions 509 to 807 of the family's 1533-position model. The record is from RNAcentral.